GCCCCGAUGGUGAAAUAGGUAGACACAGCGGACUUAAAAUCCGCGGCCCCCAACCGGGCGUACCGGUUCGAUUCCGGUUCGGGGCACCA
Molecule: transfer RNA, 89 nt
Filed under: Ramlibacter aurantiacus
Lineage: Bacteria; Pseudomonadati; Pseudomonadota; Betaproteobacteria; Burkholderiales; Comamonadaceae
Description: tRNA-Leu
Rfam family: tRNA
About the family: Transfer RNA (tRNA) molecules are approximately 80 nucleotides in length. Their secondary structure includes four short double-helical elements and three loops (D, anti-codon, and T loops).
Source: RNAcentral